AUGCACGCUGGCGGCGUGCCUCAUACAUGCAAGUCGCGCGAACAGACGAGGAGCUUGCUCCUUUGACGUUAGCGGCGGACGGGUGAGUAACACGUGGAUAACCUACCUAUAAGACUGGGAUAACUUCGGGAAACCGGAGCUAAUACCGGAUAACAUGUUGAACCGCAUGGUUCAACAGUGAAAGACGGUCUUGCUGUCACUUAUAGAUGGAUCCGCGCCGCAUUAGCUAGUUGGUAAGGUAACGGCUUACCAAGGCAACGAUGCGUAGCCGACCUGAGAGGGUGAUCGGCCACACUGGAACUGAGACACGGUCCAGACUCCUACGGGAGGCAGCAGUAGGGAAUCUUCCGCAAUGGGCGAAAGCCUGACGGAGCAACGCCGCGUGAGUGAAGAAGGUCUUCGGAUCGUAAAACUCUGUUAUUAGGGAAGAACAAAUGUGUAAGUAACUAUGCACGUCUUGACGGUACCUAAUCAGAAAGCCACGGCUAACUACGUG
This 496-nucleotide ribosomal RNA is filed under the name uncultured bacterium. RNAcentral's name for it is "partial 16S ribosomal RNA". It matches the Rfam family "Bacterial small subunit ribosomal RNA", at positions 29 to 507 of the family's 1533-position model. The record is from RNAcentral.